This 253-nucleotide ribosomal RNA is filed under the name uncultured bacterium. RNAcentral describes it as "partial 16S ribosomal RNA". It matches the Rfam family "Bacterial small subunit ribosomal RNA", at positions 524 to 776 of the family's 1533-position model. The record is from RNAcentral.
UACAGAGGGGGCAAGCGUUGUUCGGAAUUACUGGGCGUAAGGGGCGCGUAGGCGGCCUUCUAAGUCGAACGUGAAAUCCCUCGGCUUAACCGGGGAACUGCGUCUGAUACUGGAUGGCUUGAGUUUGGGAGAGGGAUGCGGAAUUCCAGGUGUAGCGGUGAAAUGCGUAGAUAUCUGGAGGAAUACCGGUGGCGAAGGCGGCAUCCUGGACCGGCAUUGACGCUGAUGAGCGAAAGCCAGGGGAGCAAACGGG